AUUGAACGCUGGCGGCAGGCCUAACACAUGCAAGUCGAGCGGAUGAAGGGAGCUUGCUCCUGGAUUCAGCGGCGGACGGGUGAGUAAUGCCUAGGAAUCUGCCUGGUAGUGGGGGAUAACGUCCGGAAACGGGCGCUAAUACCGCAUACGUCCUGAGGGAGAAAGUGGGGGAUCUUCGGACCUCACUCUAUCAGAUUAGCCUAGGUCGGAUUAGCUAGUUGGUGGGGUAAAGGCCUACCAAGGCGACGAUCCGUAACUGGUCUGAGAGGAUGAUCAGUCACACUGGAACUGAGACACGGUCCAGACUCCUACGGGAGGCAGCAGUGGGGAAUAUUGGACAAUGGGCGAAAGCCUGAUCCAGCCAUGCCGCGUGUGUGAAGAAGGUCUUCGGAUUGUAAAGCACUUUAAGUUGGGAGGAAGGGCAGUAAGUUAAUACCUUGCUGUUUUGACGUUACCAACAGAAUAAGCACCGGCUAACUUCGUG
This 484-nucleotide ribosomal RNA is filed under the name uncultured bacterium. Its description in RNAcentral is "partial 16S ribosomal RNA". It matches the Rfam family "Bacterial small subunit ribosomal RNA", at positions 30 to 507 of the family's 1533-position model. The record is from RNAcentral.